CGGGGCGUAGCGCAGCCCGGUUAGCGUGCUACUUUCGGGAAGUAGAGGUCGGAGGUUCAAAUCCUCUCGCCCCGACCA
Molecule: transfer RNA, 78 nt
Filed under: Candidatus Cloacimonadota bacterium
Lineage: Bacteria; Pseudomonadati; Candidatus Cloacimonadota
Description: Candidatus Cloacimonetes bacterium tRNA-Pro
Rfam family: tRNA
About the family: Transfer RNA (tRNA) molecules are approximately 80 nucleotides in length. Their secondary structure includes four short double-helical elements and three loops (D, anti-codon, and T loops). Further hydrogen bonds mediate the characteristic L-shaped molecular structure. tRNAs have two regions of fundamental functional importance: the anti-codon, which is responsible for specific mRNA codon recognition, and the 3' end, to which the tRNAs corresponding amino acid is attached (by aminoacyl-tRNA synthetases). tRNAs cope with the degeneracy of the genetic code in two manners: having more than one tRNA (with a specific anti-codon) for a particular amino acid; and 'wobble' base-pairing, i.e. permitting non-standard base-pairing at the 3rd anti-codon position.
Source: RNAcentral